This 760-nucleotide ribosomal RNA is filed under the name Bacillus spizizenii. RNAcentral describes it as "bacterial SSU rRNA". It matches the Rfam family "Bacterial small subunit ribosomal RNA", at positions 84 to 829 of the family's 1533-position model. Lineage: Bacteria; Bacillati; Bacillota; Bacilli; Caryophanales; Bacillaceae. The record is from RNAcentral.
CUCUGAUGUUAGCGGCGGACGGGUGAGUAACACGUGGGUAACCUGCCUGUAAGACUGGGAUAACUCCGGGAAACCGGGGCUAAUACCGGAUGGUUGUUUGAACCGCAUGGUUCAAACAUAAAAGGUGGCUUCGGCUACCACUUACAGAUGGACCCGCGGCGCAUUAGCUAGUUGGUGAGGUAACGGCUCACCAAGGCAACGAUGCGUAGCCGACCUGAGAGGGUGAUCGGCCACACUGGGACUGAGACACGGCCCAGACUCCUACGGGAGGCAGCAGUAGGGAAUCUUCCGCAAUGGACGAAAGUCUGACGGAGCAACGCCGCGUGAGUGAUGAAGGUUUUCGGAUCGUAAAGCUCUGUUGUUAGGGAAGAACAAGUACCGUUCGAAUAGGGCGGUACCUUGACGGUACCUAACCAGAAAGCCACGGCUAACUACGUGCCAGCAGCCGCGGUAAUACGUAGGUGGCAAGCGUUGUCCGGAAUUAUUGGGCGUAAAGGGCUCGCAGGCGGUUUCUUAAGUCUGAUGUGAAAGCCCCCGGCUCAACCGGGGAGGGUCAUUGGAAACUGGGGAACUUGAGUGCAGAAGAGGAGAGUGGAAUUCCACGUGUAGCGGUGAAAUGCGUAGAGAUGUGGAGGAACACCAGUGGCGAAGGCGACUCUCUGGUCUGUAACUGACGCUGAGGAGCGAAAGCGUGGGGAGCGAACAGGAUUAGAUACCCUGGUAGUCCACGCCGUAAACGAUGAGUGCUAAGUGUUAGGGG